Long non-coding RNA from Lampris incognitus (smalleye Pacific opah), 325 nucleotides. RefSeq lists it as uncharacterized. The transcript is spliced from 3 exons. NCBI's taxonomy places the organism in Eukaryota, Metazoa, Chordata, Actinopteri, Lampriformes, Lampridae. The record is from RefSeq and is a predicted model, not a curated record.
UGGAGAGAGGGGGGGGGGAGAGAGAGAGUUAAGGAAGGGAGGCAGUACAGACUCAGGAGAGUGACUGUGAGUAUUGUGAAGGUUCUGAAGAGCUCGGUGGACCGGCGUGACACAGCAUGAAUGGCAGCAACAUGGCAGACGGGCCCUACUACCAGAACCACGGCUUCCACCACGAGGAGGCCCGACCCCCUCCGUACUCCCCACACCCAGGGAUGUACCCCCACUCUGGCCCUGCCCUCCUACGCCUGUCGCCCAGCCGAUCCCCCAGAUCAUCAGCACCCAGCACACUGUGACCGUCGGGCCUGCCGCAUGGCACACAACCAGA